GGAAUAUUGCACAAUGGGCGCAAGCCUGAUGCAGCCAUGCCGCGUGUAUGAAGAAGGCCUUCGGGUUGUAAAGUACUUUCAGCGGGGAGGAAGGCGAUGCGGUUAAGAACCGCGUCGAUGGACGUUACCCGAAGAAGAAGCACCGGCUAACUCCGCGCCAGCAGCCGCGGUAAUACGGAGGGUGCAAGCGUUAAUCGGAAUUACUGGGCGUAAAGCGCACGCAGGCGGUCUGUCAAGUCGGAUGUGAAAUCCCCGGGCUCAACCUGGGAACUGCAUCCGAAACUGGCAGGCUUGAGUCUCGUAGAGGGGGGUAGAAUUCCAGGUGUAGCGGUGAAAUGCGUAGAGAUCCGGAGGAAUACCGGUGGCGAAGGCGGCCCCCUGGACGAAGACUGACGCUCAGGUGCGAAAGCGUGAGGAGCA
RNAcentral lists this ribosomal RNA (420 nucleotides) under uncultured bacterium. RNAcentral's name for it is "bacterial SSU rRNA". It matches the Rfam family "Bacterial small subunit ribosomal RNA", at positions 358 to 770 of the family's 1533-position model. The record is from RNAcentral.